Long non-coding RNA from Sphaeramia orbicularis (orbiculate cardinalfish), 210 nucleotides. RefSeq lists it as uncharacterized. The transcript has 4 exons. Lineage: Eukaryota; Metazoa; Chordata; Actinopteri; Kurtiformes; Apogonidae. The record is from RefSeq and is a predicted model, not a curated record.
AACAUUAUUGAAUAAAAGAGUUAAAGAAUAAAUAAAAAAGAAAAACAUUCAAACUCAAAUGAACCUCCUCCAUAUCUGCAUUGGUAUAAAUACCUAAAACUAUCCAUACAGUACUUUUUAAUAUCGAUACAGUAUCGUGAAGUGAAAUAUUGCGAUAUAUUGCAGAGCAGGUGUUUUCCUGCAGCCCUAAGGAGCUGUGAAUUAAAAACA